Molecule: small RNA, 28 nt
Filed under: Bombyx mori (domestic silkworm)
Lineage: Eukaryota; Metazoa; Arthropoda; Insecta; Lepidoptera; Bombycidae
Description: ovarian small RNA-1871
Source: RNAcentral
UACGCUGCUAAAUGUGUCCCUACAGUGC